Molecule: ribosomal RNA, 253 nt
Filed under: uncultured bacterium
Lineage: Bacteria
Description: partial 16S ribosomal RNA
Rfam family: Bacterial small subunit ribosomal RNA
Source: RNAcentral
UACAGAGGUCCCAAGCGUUGUUCGGAUUCAUUGGGCGGAAAGGGUGCGUAGGCGGCGCGGUAAGUCGGGUGUGAAAUCUCGGAGCUUAACUCCGAAACUGCAUUCGAUACUGCCGUGCUUGAGGACUGGAGAGGAGACUGGAAUUUACGGUGUAGCGGUGAAAUGCGUAGAUAUCGUAAGGAAGACCAGUGGCGAAGGCGGGUCUCUGGACAGUUCCUGACGCUGAGGCACGCAGGCCAGGGGAGCAAACGGG